GUGUGCAAGAGGGUGAGCUGGUGUCAGGUAGGUGUGCAAGAGGGGGUGCUGGUGCAAGAACACCGGGUGUUGGUGCAAGUGGGUGUGCAAAAGGGUGAGUUAGUGCAAGGUGGGUGUGCAAGAGAGGGUGUUAGUGCAAGAGCAGUGGGUGUUGGUGCAAGUGGGUGUGCAAAAGGGGGUGUUGGUGCAAGACAGGCGGGUGUUGGUGCAAGUGGGUGUGCAAGAAGGUGAGUUAGUGCAAGACCACUGGGUGUUGAUGCAAGGUGGGUGUGCAAAAGGAUGUUUUGGUGCAAGGUGGGUGUGCACAACGGUGUGCUUGUGCAAGGCGGGUGUGCAAGAGGGUGAGGGUGCAAGGUGGGUGUGUACAAGGGGGUGUCGGUGCAAGACCUGGGGGUGUUGGUGCAAGGUGAGUGUGCAAGAGAGUGUGCUGGUGCAAGGUAGGUGUGCAAGAGGGGGGUGUUGGUGCAAGACUAGCAGGUAUUGGUGCAAGGUGGGUGUGCAAGGGGGUGUGUUGGUGCAAGACCAGGGGCUGUCGGUGUGAGGCAGGUGUGCACGAGCGUGUGUUGGUGCAAGGUGUGUGCGCAAGAGGGGGUGUUGGUGCAAGCCCAAUGGGUGUUGGUGCAAGGUGGGUGUGCAAGAGGGGGUGUUGGUGCAAGAUCUGGGGGUGUUGGUGCAAGGUGGGUGUGCAAGAGGGGGUGUUGGUGCAAGCCCAGUGGGUGCGUGUGCAAGGCGUGUGUGUGUGUGUGCACAAGCGUGUCCGAGUGUGCACAAGCGUGCAAGCUGCAGGGCUCCAGGCCACAGCCCACGAGGAUUUGCACACGCGUGUGCAAGCCACACCAGCGCGUGCCGCCCCCCCGGUGCUCCGGCCCUUCCCCGCCGCCCCCUUUCCCGCCCCCCCCCUCCGUGCAAGGUGGGUGUGCACAACGGUGUGCUUGUGCAAGGCGGGUGUGCAAGAGGGUGAGGGUGCAAGGUGGGGGGGUGUUGGUGCAAGGUGGGUGUGCAAAAGGGGGUGUUGGUGCAAGACAGGCGGGUGUUGGUGCAAGUGGGUGUGCAAGAAGGUGAGUUAGUGCAAGACCACUGGGUGUUGAUGCAAGGUGGGUGUGCAAAAGGAUGUUUUGGUGCAAGGUGGGUGUGCACAACGGUGUGCUUGUGCAAGGCGGGUGUGCAAGAGGGUGAGGGUGCAAGGUGGGUGUGUACAAGGGGGUGUCGGUGCAAGACCUGGGGGUGUUGGUGCAAGGUGAGUGUGCAAGAGAGUGUGCUGGUGCAAGGUAGGUGUGCAAGAGGGGGGUGUUGGUGCAAGACUAGCAGGUAUUGGUGCAAGGUGGGUGUGCAAGGGGGUGUGUUGGUGCAAGACCAGGGGCUGUCGGUGUGAGGCAGGUGUGCACGAGCGUGUGUUGGUGCAAGGUGUGUGCGCAAGAGGGGGUGUUGGUGCAAGCCCAAUGGGUGUUGGUGCAAGGUGGGUGUGCAAGAGGGGGUGUUGGUGCAAGAUCUGGGGGUGUUGGUGCAAGGUGGGUGUGCAAGAGGGGGUGUUGGUGCAAGCCCAGUGGGUGCGUGUGCAAGGCGUGUGUGUGUGUGUGCACAAGCGUGUCCGAGUGUGCACAAGCGUGCAAGCUGCAGGGCUCCAGGCCACAGCCCACGAGGAUUUGCACACGCGUGUGCAAGCCACACCAGCGCGUGCCGCCCCCCCGGUGCUCCGG
This 1697-nucleotide long non-coding RNA is filed under the name Anas platyrhynchos platyrhynchos (common mallard). RNAcentral's name for it is "lncRNA (ENSAPLG00000019858.1)". The record is from RNAcentral. Lineage: Eukaryota; Metazoa; Chordata; Aves; Anseriformes; Anatidae.